GGAGUCCUCCAGUCCUGAUAAAAGUCUUCAGCCACAGAUUAAGCCAGAAGCUACUGUAUGACCACAAGGAUCAGAGGAGCCCUGCCUCUCUUUACUGGGAUGGCCUUUGGGGGAAGUUUAGCUGGGUCACGCCUGUCCCGGCCCGCGGUACUGGAGAAACCAAAAACCCACCAACAACCAGCCUGGAAGGAGAACCUGCCUGAGUUCAGAUAAGGCUCUACCACUUCCGAGUUGGCCGACUUCAAAUGGAAUUGGAGAGCAGUUGGAAACCAAGCUAGCUGGGAGUUGUCAUGUUGGUGGUCCAACAUAUCAGGAUGUUUCAAGUUUCAAGGGCUUUCUAUUUGAACUAUGCAAGUAUUUAGCAACCCCUGUGGCCUGGGCACUGGCAGUCUGCACAAACGCCAGCUGGACAAGACUGGCUGCUGUCCUCAGGUGUCCUCUGCAUAUUGGCUUGGGUAUGGAUGAUCCUGGGACACCCUACCCAGGCUCAGAAGGCCUCUGCUACUCAGCUACCUGGUGUCUUGCUAAGUGCAGGCGUCUCUGUUCAGGGUACACAGUCCUCGGGCAUGGGAACCAGAAGAUCUGGGAGCGUGGCUCAAUAAUCUGUGUGUGAAUAAACACUCCAGAUGAGUCUGAUGCAUGCAGAAGUAUGGUCACCACAGACCUAAACUGGCUUUUGAAAGCCAAUGGAAUAUGAAAAUAAAGAGAAAAAACUAUCUGUGGAAACAAAAACAUGUCACAAGGACAAUGCUAGAGUAUAUAGUUAUAAAAAAGGUAGCUGUCUGAGACAAGGACCAUACAUUACUGUGAGAAACAGAAAUGUAUUAACUAGAAUAUAUAAAGAACUCAAAAAAGAAAAAAAGACGCAGUCAAAACAUGAGCAACGGAAAAGAACAGACACUUCUCAGAAGAUGUACAAAUGGCCA
Molecule: long non-coding RNA, 926 nt
Filed under: Heterocephalus glaber (naked mole-rat)
Lineage: Eukaryota; Metazoa; Chordata; Mammalia; Rodentia; Bathyergidae
Description: lncRNA (ENSHGLG00000038110.1)
Source: RNAcentral